RNAcentral lists this transfer RNA (90 nucleotides) under Bacillus velezensis. RNAcentral describes it as "tRNA-Asp". It matches the Rfam family "tRNA". From Rfam's summary of the family: Transfer RNA (tRNA) molecules are approximately 80 nucleotides in length. Their secondary structure includes four short double-helical elements and three loops (D, anti-codon, and T loops). The record is from RNAcentral. Lineage: Bacteria; Bacillati; Bacillota; Bacilli; Caryophanales; Bacillaceae.
GGUCCGGUAGUUCAGUUGGUUAGAAUGCCUGGUUAGAAUGCCUGCCUGUCACGCAGGAGGUCGCGGGUUCGAGUCCCGUCCGGACCGCCA